This 694-nucleotide ribosomal RNA is filed under the name uncultured bacterium. RNAcentral's name for it is "bacterial SSU rRNA". It matches the Rfam family "Bacterial small subunit ribosomal RNA", at positions 32 to 715 of the family's 1533-position model. The record is from RNAcentral.
AACGCUAGCUACAGGCUUAACACAUGCAAGUCGAGGGGUAACGAGAGGAAAGCUUGCUUUCCUUGUCGACGACCGGCGCACGGGUGAGUAACGCGUAUCCAACCUGCCCCCAACUAGGGAAUAACCUUGCGAAAGUAAGACUAAUACCCUAUAAUUUCCUCAGAUGUCAUCUGACGAGGAAUAAAGAUUUAUCGGUUGUGGAUGGGGAUGCGUCUGAUUAGCUUGUUGGCGGGGUAACGGCCCACCAAGGCAACGAUCAGUAGGGGUUCUGAGAGGAAGGUCCCCCACAUUGGAACUGAGACACGGUCCAAACUCCUACGGGAGGCAGCAGUGAGGAAUAUUGGUCAAUGGGCGGAAGCCUGAACCAGCCAAGUAGCGUGCAGGAUGACGGCCCUAUGGGUUGUAAACUGCUUUUAUACAGGAAUAAAGUUAGCCACGUGUGGUUAUUUGUAGGUACUGUAUGAAUAAGGACCGGCUAAUUCCGUGCCAGCAGCCGCGGUAAUACGGAAGGUCCAGGCGUUAUCCGGAUUUAUUGGGUUUAAAGGGAGCGUANGCCGUCUGUUAAGCGUGUUGUGAAAUGUAGAUGCUCAACAUCUGAAUUGCAGCGCGAACUGGCAGACUUGAGUGUGCGCAACGUANGCGGAAUUCGUGGUGUAGCGGUGAAAUGCUUANAUAUCACGAANAACUCCNAUUG